RNAcentral lists this long non-coding RNA (707 nucleotides) under Polistes fuscatus (common paper wasp). Its description in RNAcentral is "uncharacterized LOC122522189". Lineage: Eukaryota; Metazoa; Arthropoda; Insecta; Hymenoptera; Vespidae. The record is from RNAcentral.
GGUGCUCGCAUCCCACAUAUAUAUAUAUUUAUAAUGAAUGCAUCGUCAAAUAUUUAUAUAUAUAUCCUGAAGUAAAUUUUGCAAUAACAAUGAUUAGCAACUGUGGAUGCAUUAAGCUUUCAAUGCAAAUGGAUAUAUGGAAAUAAUCCCCUAGAAGAGUGUUUCUCAACCAGUGGUCCGCAGAAAAAUGGCAAUUGGUAUAAAUCACACACACACACACACACAAUUUUAGGUUCAAAUUAAAACUAAAUAUCUAGAAUUACAAAAAGAAGUCUUAACAAUUUUCGACCAUAACACUCUUAAAAUCAAAAGCAAAAAAUCGUUUAUUAAUAAAUCCAGCUUGCACUUAGCAGUCAUAAAUAUAUCUCCCCUUGAUAAAAUAAUUACUGAAAAGAAUCAACAAUGAUUGCAUUAAUUUUUGAUAGUAUAAUUUUUAUUAUGUUUCGCUUAUUUAUUUAAGUAUUACUCUUUGCUUUUCUUCGGAUUUUGUUUACUAAUUUAACAUUUUAUUAGUUAAUUUACUUUUGUAUAGUUUCGUCGAUUAUUCUGUUUUCUUUUUUAUUAUUCUUAGAAAAAAUAUAUAUACACUAAAUUUGUUAAACAUUAUAAUAAUUGAUCCGUAAUAAAAUAAUUAAAAAAUUGAUUGAUUCACGGAAUGUAAUCAGUUGAGAAACGCUGCUCAAAAUAAACUUGUACCUGUUUUUUAA